CCCUGCCAUUUGUACACACCGCCCGUCGCACCUACCGAUUGAAUGGUCCGGUGAGGCCUCGGGAUUGUGACCAGUUCACUUCAUUGUGAGUUGGUUGCGAGAACUUGUCCAAACCUUAUCAUUUAGAGGAAGGUGAAGUCGUAACAAGGUUUCC
RNAcentral lists this ribosomal RNA (154 nucleotides) under uncultured eukaryote. RNAcentral's name for it is "partial small subunit ribosomal RNA". It matches the Rfam family "Eukaryotic small subunit ribosomal RNA", at positions 1651 to 1804 of the family's 1831-position model. The record is from RNAcentral.